AUGGCGCAGGGUACACGAACAGCUCCCGCACCGUCCCCUGAUCCCCUGAAGACUCGGAUCUCCGCUACUCCUGCCUGCAACCCUUGCCUUGGUUGGCUCCACGCGUUCCUCCGCCGCCCCGCCCCUUUCCGCUCCUUAUUGGCUUCCUCAGGACACGCGCGCAAAGGGGCGUGGAAGCGGCCGCGGCUGACCGGCCCAAGGCGCAGGGCCGCACGGCGGGGGCGGGGCCGAGCCGCAUGGGGGGAGCAGAGCGUAAGGGUCAGGCAGGUUGGGCGCAGGGCGGAGGGGCGGGGCCGUCGGGGGCGGGGUGUGGCCGGGCCGUCGAGGGCGGGGCCGGGCCGUCGGGGGCGGGGCGCGCCGCCGGAGCCGGGAAGCGCGCGGGGUGGCGGCGGGCUUGAGGUCGUAUGGACACCCUGGCGUUGGGCCGCUGGCGACGGCGGAGGGCGGAGGAGCUGCAGAAUCUGGGGGACGUGAAGCGAACAUGCAUGAGAUUAGAAGCAGCUGCCCCCGAUCCUGGUUGCCCCGAGGUAAACACGUUUGCCCUGGAAUCCUGGAUCCCUGAGGAGCUGGAGCCUCGACCUGGAGGGCCCCCCACUGCCCUUGGUCCCGAGUGUGUCCGUGGGAAGCAAAGCACAGGGGUAUGUUCAUCCACUCACCAUGUCUUAGCUGAACCCAGUUCAAUAUUUUAAUAAAAAGUGUAAAUAAUCACUGUUCUGAUACAACUUUGGGUGUGAUUUGUUAAAUAGAUCCCUCAGGACAGUGGAAGGAGCCCUGCCCAGCCUUGCCCAAGAUGUGCUGCAGGGGAGUCCGUGAGUGCACUCACCUUCUUGCUGUGACAUAGCAGAUAGGCUGGUUCCUAAAUAUUAGAGCCAUAAAACAAAGUUAAGAAGAACUGCAGUCAGCUUCUAAGGAAUGAGGAGCAUAUAUUAAAAAGUGCAGAUUGAUUUAUGCCCUCCUUAACAUUCUACUAGGGGCAAACUGUAGAUACAUUUAAAACUCUUUCUAAAAAGCAGGGUUUAGGGAAGGGAAUGGGCUGCUUAGUUUGGUUAAAACAGCAUCAUCUUGCAAAACAACCUAACUUUCUUACUUAAUUAUUCAUGUGAGAAUGAACAGGUUUUUUUUUUCCUUUUCCCUGUUUAAGCUUUUCCCCCGUAUUUCCAUAAACUUCACAUAAACCACUGAUUUCAGUAGAAGAAAUGCAGUAUUCACAUC
RNAcentral lists this long non-coding RNA (1212 nucleotides) under Dasypus novemcinctus (nine-banded armadillo). Its description in RNAcentral is "lncRNA (ENSDNOG00000051752.1)". Lineage: Eukaryota; Metazoa; Chordata; Mammalia; Cingulata; Dasypodidae. The record is from RNAcentral.